GCUUCCGGCUCCAAAAAGCUCGUCAGGCGUGGCGACAGUGCUACUGUAAUUGGACUUGAUCGGUUGUUCGAAGCUUUUGAAGGAAGAUGGAGAUGGAAAGAGGCCAAGCAGUGAUGCCAUUGGCGACCCUUCUCAGACCUCCUGACCUACGUCUGAUGUUACAUCUACUGGUUGAGCACAAGGCUGAACAUGAAUUCAAACUUCACUGCUCAGACCUCCCAGAUGGCACUUGAAUGCUGAAGUAUAAAUUCGACCGAGUGUAAGAAAAUGAGGAUUCUCCAGGAUCGAGGGAGUUCAUCUGCUAUGCUCCUAGGCUUGCAGGGCCAGACCUCAAGACGAUAAGGUGACUUGGAGGUCUGGGAAGGUUUCAUCUGAAUUCUUUUGUCAUUUCCUCUUCGCUGAAUUCCAUCAGCAGCAUUUUGUUUGGCUGCACUGUCUGUCAGUCCACUGGCACUUUGGGAUAUUAAACAGGCCCUGGUUAAGUGUGGUUAUCCUAACUCGGCGUUUGUCAAAGCCAGGAAGACGUCCAAACAGCGCACCAGCCAACCGAAGAGAGGAGAAGGAUAACAGCUGUCUAAGCGUAAACCAGUGGUGAUUCUGAAUGUGGUGGGAGUGUCAGAAAAGUUGAGGUGUAUUUUCCAAACAUCGUGUCUCAGUUGCUUUGAAACCCCAAAACACGGUGCACCAGAAAUUGGUCCACCCCAAGGAUCGGGUCCCCCGGCACAAACGGAGAAAUAUGGUGUACGCUGUUGAAUGCCGGGAGGAUUGCCGUGACUUAUACAUUGGGGAAACCAAGCAGACGCUAGCCAACAGAAUGGCACAACACAGGAGAGCUAAUGCGUCAGGCCAGGACUCUGCAGUCUACACCCAUCUACAGGCCAGUGGCCAGUCUUUAAAGGAUGAGGAUGUGCACAUCAUUGAUGGGGAACGCUGGUUUGAACAGGAAACGUGUUUCAUCACUGUACAGUCAUAUUGAGUUUACAGCUCAAACACGUUUAAUAAAAGAUAGCAAUGUG
Lampris incognitus (smalleye Pacific opah) is the source of this 1016-nucleotide long non-coding RNA. RefSeq lists it as uncharacterized. Lineage: Eukaryota; Metazoa; Chordata; Actinopteri; Lampriformes; Lampridae. The transcript has 5 exons. The record is from RefSeq and is a predicted model, not a curated record.